This 253-nucleotide ribosomal RNA is filed under the name uncultured bacterium. Its description in RNAcentral is "partial 16S ribosomal RNA". It matches the Rfam family "Bacterial small subunit ribosomal RNA", at positions 524 to 776 of the family's 1533-position model. The record is from RNAcentral.
UACGUAGGGGGCUAGCGUUGUCCGGAAGCAUUGGGCGUAAAGCGCGCGUAGGCGGCCAGAUAAGUCCGGUGUGAAAGUCAAAGGCUCAACCUUUGAAUGCCGCUGGAAACUGUCUGGCUUGAGUCCGGAAGGGGCGAGUGGAAUUCCUGGUGUAGCGGUGAAAUGCGCAGAUAUCAGGAAGAACCCGCGUGGCGAAGGCGGUUCUCUGGGACGGUACUGACGCUGAGACGCGAAAGCGUGGGGAGCGAACAGG